This 438-nucleotide ribosomal RNA is filed under the name uncultured bacterium. RNAcentral describes it as "bacterial SSU rRNA". It matches the Rfam family "Bacterial small subunit ribosomal RNA", at positions 338 to 793 of the family's 1533-position model. The record is from RNAcentral.
CCUACGGGUGGCACCAGUGGGGAAUAUUGGACAAUGGGCGAAAGCCUGAUCCAGCAAUGCCGCGUGUGUGAAGAAGGUCUUCGGAUUGUAAAGCACUUUCGACGGGGACGAUGAUGACGGCACCCGUAGAAGAAGCCCCCGCUAACUUCGUGCCAGCAGCCGCGGUAAUACGAAGGGGGCUAGCGUUGCUCGGAAUGACUGGGCGUAAAGGGCGCGUAGGCGGUUUAUGCAGUCAGAUGUGAAAUCCCCGGGCUUAACCUGGGAAGUGCAUUUGAGACGCAUAGACUAUAGGUCGAGAGAGGGUUGUGGAAUUCCCAGUGUAGAGGUGAAAUUCGUAGAUAUUGGGAAGAACACCGGUGGCGAAGGCGGCAACCUGGCUCGAUACUGACGCUGAGGCGCGAAAGCGUGGGGAGCAAACAGGAUUAGAUACCCUCGUAG